CAGGAUUAGAUACCCUGGUAGUCCACGCCCUAAACGAUGUCUACUAGUUGUCGGGUCUUAAUUGACUUGGUAACGCAGCUAACGCGUGAAGUAGACCGCCUGGGGAGUACGGUCGCAAGAUUAAAACUCAAAGGAAUUGACGGGGACCCGCACAAGCGGUGGAUGAUGUGGAUUAAUUCGAUGCAACGCGAAAAACCUUACCUACCCUUGACAUGGCUGGAAUCCCCGAGAGAUUGGGGAGUGCUCGAAAGAGAACCAGUACACAGGUGCUGCAUGGCUGUCGUCAGCUCGUGUCGUGAGAUGUUGGGUUAAGUCCCGCAACGAGCGCAACCCUUGUCAUUAGUUGCUACGAAAGGGCACUCUAAUGAGACUGCCGGUGACAAACCGGAGGAAGGUGGGGAUGACGUCAAGUCCUCAUGGCCCUUAUGGGUAGGGCUUCACACGUCAUACAAUGGUACAUACAGAGCGCCGCCAACCCGCGAGGGGGAGCUAAUCGCAGAAAGUGUAUCGUAGUCCGGAUUGUAGUCUGCAACUCGACUGCAUGAAGUUGGAAUCGCUAGUAAUCGCGGAUCAGCAUGUCGCGGUGAAUACGUUCCCGGGUCUUGUACACACCGCCCGUCACACCAUGGGAGCGGGUUUUACCAGAAGUA
RNAcentral lists this ribosomal RNA (650 nucleotides) under Janthinobacterium sp. AD75. Its description in RNAcentral is "bacterial SSU rRNA". It matches the Rfam family "Bacterial small subunit ribosomal RNA", at positions 773 to 1428 of the family's 1533-position model. Lineage: Bacteria; Pseudomonadati; Pseudomonadota; Betaproteobacteria; Burkholderiales; Oxalobacteraceae. The record is from RNAcentral.